AACGCGGCCGCUUUAGCGGCCACCAGCUCAUUCAAAGCCAUUGUCU
RNAcentral lists this non-coding RNA (46 nucleotides) under Oceanicaulis sp. 350. Its description in RNAcentral is "Histone3". It matches the Rfam family "Histone 3' UTR stem-loop". From Rfam's summary of the family: The mRNAs of metazoan histone genes lack a poly-A tail. 3' end processing occurs at a site between a highly conserved stem-loop (modelled by this family) and a purine rich region around 20 nts downstream (the histone downstream element, or HDE). The stem-loop is bound by a 31 kDa stem-loop binding protein (SLBP - also termed the histone hairpin binding protein, or HBP). Lineage: Bacteria; Pseudomonadati; Pseudomonadota; Alphaproteobacteria; Maricaulales; Maricaulaceae. The record is from RNAcentral.